Gallus gallus (chicken) is the source of this 1006-nucleotide long non-coding RNA. Lineage: Eukaryota; Metazoa; Chordata; Aves; Galliformes; Phasianidae. The record is from Ensembl.
ACUGAUCGAGCUCACAGAAGCAGCAAGAACUUUGCUUUUGAGACUGGCAUUCUUACCAUGCUCAGCGUCAGAGUUUCUGAAUGCUUUGUGGACACAGAAGGAAGAGUGAACAGUACAGCCCUGGUCUGGUUGUAGGAGGCAGCUGCAGAACAGGCACUAGCAGUAAAGGCUCUAGGAGCCAAGGAAGGAAAAUGUUCCAUUUUCAUUUAUAUGACAAGAAGACUUGAAGCAACCCCUCUUCUUUGACCUGGCAUUAGAAUUUUUUAGGUGACAUCUGUUCUAUCUGAAGUCUUGAGGAAUUCCAAACCACAGAAUCCCCUUGUGUGAACACAGGACUUCGAUGUCACUGGCACAUGCAGCAACCAAGAUAUUUAUAACAGUUCUUUGACAACAGCGGUUCGGUCUAUCUCAGCUGAUAUCAAAAAGUCAACAACAUAUGCCCAUUUUCUUCACUCUUGUACCACACGUGGGAUUUUCAGCUAGACGUACUUUCUGUGUUUAAAUUAAACAUAUGAUGUAUCUAUAAACUGAAAUGCUUUCCCUGUGAAAGGUUCCCUGGUAGACUGCAAUAAUUAUUCGCUUUGAUGUAGUUUCAGAAGGCAUGCAAAAGCCUCUCAGUUCGACACUGAUACAACCUGGGUGCAUUUGUUUUUAAAACAGGGAGCUCUUAAAAUGUCCUUACUUUUACUACUGUUACUAUAUUAGCAGCUGAAACGUGAAUACCCUUUGAUUCAUUGUAUCACCUAUAGUUAUUGGAAAUGCUGCUCUUAAUUCAUGAUACACAGAAGUAAAUAUACAAAUCCAGUCUGACAGUCUUAUUUUAUAUGACAGUUCCCGGUCACAUGGGAGAUGAGUACCACCAAACUGUAUUUAUAAUAAAUCUAUACUAAAAGCCUGUCCUUAUAUGUAUGAGUACUUGAAUUAGAAAACAUGUUCCCUGAAUGCAUGUACACGCACACGGUCCAAUCCAUAUUCUUUGCCCUAAUACCCAUCUAAUAAAAAUGUU